CCGAUGACGUCAGCGGUUUUCUAAGUACGAGCAUCAAAGCAUCAUGAAGAAGAUACAUCUGCAGAGACAGAGUUUACUGAAGAACAGAGAGAACAUGAGAGAUCUAGAACCCUGCAGAACCAAACACACUGAAGAACAAACAGGUUGUGUUUAUUCUUCAUCCUUCAGUAAUGAGGCUCAAAAAUGUUUGUGUGUGUAUAUGUGGAUUUCAUCAGUGGCGGGUCACAUGUUCACUCCUACUAUGAUGUUUCUGAUUUUAUUACAUUCAGUGUAAACAGUGAUUUAUAACGGAUCAGUAACAACAAGAUCACAGUUGAAGUUCACACAGUCUGUCUGAGAGAGAAUCUCCUGGAGAAAUCAAAACAAAUGAACACAGCUGCACACAGAAGAAACAUAACCCAUACAGCCCAAUUAAGCAACAUGACACGACCAAAUUUAACAUUUUAAAGCGUUGAAAUUAGUAGUUCAUAUACAUGUUAGUUCAAUAUUUGAUAUAUUGUCAAAGUUGACUGUUUUUGCUCCAUUUGGUUAAUGAAAACGCUUCCAAACGCUUCUCUGAGCAACACACAGCAGUGUUUCGUUACUGAAGGAUUCGUGUUUGUGAAUUUUGAAUCAUUUGAGUCAAUGAUUCAGUUCUCCAUUUAUAAAGACAUGCCCUGUGUCUCAAUGUUCAUACUAUCAUCCUAAAUAGUGUGUGAGAUUAGAAGAAGUGUAUAGAAAUAUAAUGCAGACACCAGUUAAAUGUCCUUGUUAGUUUUUAUCAUAUUUAGUCAACCUUAUCCUGUUUAGUUUUAGUCGACUGAAAGUCUCAACAUUUUAGUCUAGUUUUAGUCAAUGAAAACUUGACAUUUUAGCAGCAAGAUUAUUAUUAAUUAACCACACAGCAGUAUUAAGUUUGGCAGCCAUUUUUUAAUUCAGUCUUAGUUUUACUCAAAUGUACAUUUUAAUUAUCAUAUUUAGUCAACCCUGUCCUGUUUUUGUUUAGUCAAGUUUAAGAAAAUGAAAAGUAUGAGCAUUUUAGUCAGGUUGUAUAACGGCUAAACCGAUCAGAAUUAUUUUUGCUCUAAAUUAUAAUCGUAAAGUUUGUUGUUAUUUGAGAAAUGUACUUUUGUGUUUCAGGUAUUGCUCUUUCACCAGUAAACACAAAGCAACAGAAUGUGGACUCAUACAAAUGGUUUAUUUAACCUCAUGUAAUGUGCUGAUUUAUUAGGCUUUUUAUUAUAGAAAAUAACACCAAAGACUUAUGCACUCAGUCUGUCUAUAAUAUGAAAACUGGUGAAACAAAGAAAAAUAUGAUAACAGCGAAAUCCCUAAUAGUUAUUAGACUAUUUCUAAACUGCAGCAUUGCAUUGUCAGUGACAGCAUUUGAAGAUUGAUUUAUAAAAAUCAUUUCAGGUUUAAGAAGUGUUUCAACAUUGCAUCAGCUACUGAUGAACACAUUGAUUUUAUUUAAAUAAUCACUCUGUUGAUUAUUUAACCAUGUGUUACUUUGUAUUUGGAAGGCGUUUGUCUUUGAAACACAUUAAAACACACAAAUUCACAAACUUUUGUCAUCUGAUCCUCUUUCACCAAAUAUAUUUACUUGAAGUACCCCUGAGAUUUAAAAUAUAUAUAUUUUAAUAAUUAUCACAUUUGCAUGUUCAUGAUUCUUUGAUGUUGGUUAUGUCCACAUGACAUGCAGGUAAACAAAUUAAAUGUUAAACUUUUUUAGUAAGAUUUUAUUUUGAUUGGUUUUAAAAUUAUUUAUUUUAAUGUAUCCUUUUUUAUGAUUUAAUUAAUUAGCUUUUUAUUAAAGUCACAAACCCUAGUUUGGGAAACCUUGAUGUAAUGUUUAAUGCACUUCAUGUUAAUAACAACAAAUGGAAUAUAUAUAUUUAUUAGUCAUGGGCCGGUAUGAGAUUUUGAUGGUAUGAUAACCUUAAGCAAACAUAUCACGGUUUCACAGUAUUGUUCUUACAGCUCUGAAAUGAUUGAGAAUCAUGAGUCAGUUCGGGAGUUCGGAGCGAGUUCGCGGAUCAUUUGAGUCAGUUCGGGAGUUCAAAGCCGGUUCGCGAAUCAUUUGAGUCAGUUUGGGGAUCGCGAAUCAUUUGAAUCAGUUCGGGAGUUCGUAGCGGGAUCGCGAAUCAUUUGAAUCAGUUCGGGAGUUCGUAGCGGGAUCGCGAAUCAUUUGAGUCAGUUCGGGAGUUCGAAGCGGCUUCGCGAAUCAUUUGAAUCAGUUCGGGAGUUCGGAGCGGUUUCGUGAAUCAUUUGAGUCGGUUCGGGAGUUCAAAGCGGGUUCGCGAAUCAUUUGAGUCAGUUUGGAGAUCGCGAAUCAUACACAGCAAAAAUUGGAGUUUAUUUCAACACCCAAAGAGUAAUUUUAACACAUUCAGAGUAAAAUGGUGUUUGGUGUUGGAGUUAUUUCACAGAGUUGAUCAUCAUUGUUAAACAAACUCCACAGAGACGUAAUUAGACUCCGCCCACGCAUUUCCAAUCGUCGCUGGUGAAAUCCAUGAAGACGUUGCCAUUAUCCUCGUGUGGCUUUGAAAGGUAAGAUAAAUUUAAUCAUACUUUUACAUUUAUGAUUGGUGCUUAUUCAGUAGAGAAUGUACAGCAUAACGUGCUAUGGAGCACUGUGCAUAAACGUAUAUUAGGCUGUGUGUGUGCAUUCGCUUCCACAUUUCAAGUUAACGUACAUCGUGGCAGCGGUUUACGCUCGAGCUUUUCGAUUUAACAGCUUGGUCUCUAAUAAAUAUGCUUUACCGAAUUAAUAAAACGAGCGAUCUUUUACAAAGCCUCGUUUAUUGCCAUCGUCGACGUGAUUAGCUUCGUUAGCUAGCUAAGUUACUGUACGAACAGCAGAAGUAUGUGAAGCUGGACUGCAUUUAAGAGAGGUUUAACUUUAUGCAAUUUCACAUCAAAGGUUGUUUUUUUUUCUUACUCCUUUAAAAUAACUAAGAAUUUGAUUAAAAUCUGAUAAAUUCUGUUUAUUGUGUUGUUGCCUCAUUUCUGUAUUUGCCUUUAUCACAUACUUUUCUGUAGAAGGGGAUGUAUUGAUAAAAUAAAAAUUAUUCAUAUUUACAUUUUGCUUGCAUCAUAAAAAAAAACAUGUUUUCGGAUCAGACAUUUGUUGUGAAGCAAGAAAGGGCGUCAACUUAAAUAUUUUUUUCUUCUUUUUUCAGUCAUUGAGAAAUUUUGCUUGCCACCUAAUGCAAAAGUUACAUACAAGGAUGCAACAGGGACAGAAGUCGAUGCAGAAAUAUUCAGCGACCUCAUUGGACAAGGCAAUGUGGUGCUGACUGUUUUCUCAAAUGAUGAAUUCUCAGACUCUUUGUCUUCCAUAUCUGAGAAGUCUGACAAAAGCAACAGUUCAAGUGCAUCGACUGUAAUCUUUCAUGAGGUCCCUAACAAGAGACAAAGAAAAGAGGACACACCUGCACUGUCUGCAAAACGGGCAACUCCCUACUUAAGCUAUCGGAGAACAGUAUGCUGUUUGCAUAGUGAUACUGUUCCCUCAAAGAUCCAUAUUCCAAGAAAGGCUACGAACACUUUUAUGAUGCUGCAAGCAACAUAGGAUACAUUGCUUGGCAUAUGAAAACAGUCCACAGGAAGAUGAGACGAGGAUCUUUGCCACUAGACAGCCCUCAUGAUGUUUCUCCAGGAGGCCCAAAAUGCCAAAAAGCUACUAAUUUUGAAGGGCAACUUGAUGGGAGUUCUUGCAGAGAGGCCAUGUCUUUGCUCAGCCAAACCACAGAGAAUUCCCUAAUAUUCCAAAAGAUGAGAGAGACCUUUCAGCAUCGCCAAGAGCUUAUUAAAGAUCCAGGCUCUAGUGUUGAUAUCCUCUCCACAUUCCCAUGAUUCAUAGAUACAAAAGGAAUAACAUGUUUUCACAAGAAUUCAAUUUGAGAACAUUGUUUAUAGUUUAAUAUCUUCUUAAAGGUUGGUCAAGACUUCACUCUCCUGUUUAACACUGAGACAUCCUCCAGGCUGCUUCAGAAGAGGGACACACUCUUCAGGCCAAAUGUCAUUAAAGACACCAAGCAACUUACUUCAACAGCAGAGAUGAGUCAGUUGUUGCUCUCAGCAGAAUGUCCUGAAGGAAGUGACCUUCAUGAGACAAUUUUUUCUUCAUGUGAAUUUCGUCUUUAGUUUACGACCGGGAAAUGGCAUCCCUUCUUUAACUGAUACAUCUCCUUCCACCAUCACCAGGAGGAGUGAAGUCUCCAAAAACAGUCCAUGUGAUGCUGCUGAAAGACUUGUAAUCUUUCAUAAGUCAUGCUGCAGUUUGGAGGAGCCCCUCAACAACAUCCAGCAUCAGCAUCCCUACCUCCUUGCUGUUGGACGCCAGAAAAGCAAGACUGAGUGCUUCUACAUCAUCUUGGAUAAGCAUCUCAUCCCAUGCCAGGCAAACCGCUCCCUUGGAGCAUUUGAUGAACUUUUCAAGGCACAUUUUGAGUUAAAUUUGUCCUAUGAUGGUGCACUUCUGAACUUUUUUACACAUUCCUGCAGACAACAGUGUAUAACAUUGAUGAAAGUAAAAUGAGUCUCCCAGGGUUGGAGAUUUGAGAGUAGUAUGAUGUUGACAGAAUGCUAAUUUAUUUGUCAAAAAGAGCACCCAGACAGUCAACAGUUGAUUUCAUAUUUAAGAGGUGAGAAUUACAAAUAAACAAGUCAUUGGCAAAAA
This is a long non-coding RNA of Carassius gibelio (silver crucian carp), 4663 nucleotides long. RefSeq lists it as uncharacterized. Lineage: Eukaryota; Metazoa; Chordata; Actinopteri; Cypriniformes; Cyprinidae. The transcript has 7 exons. The record is from RefSeq and is a predicted model, not a curated record.